AGGCCGGUAGUGUAGUGGAUAACACGUCACGAUUCGAAGAAUGUGGAAAUAGUGAAAAUGAAAGGUUCGACUCCCUCCCGAUUUA
Molecule: transfer RNA, 85 nt
Filed under: Gongylonema pulchrum
Lineage: Eukaryota; Metazoa; Nematoda; Chromadorea; Rhabditida; Gongylonematidae
Rfam family: tRNA
About the family: Transfer RNA (tRNA) molecules are approximately 80 nucleotides in length. Their secondary structure includes four short double-helical elements and three loops (D, anti-codon, and T loops).
Source: Rfam by way of RNAcentral